Molecule: ribosomal RNA, 1316 nt
Filed under: metagenome
Description: bacterial SSU rRNA
Rfam family: Bacterial small subunit ribosomal RNA
Source: RNAcentral
AGAGUUUGAUCCUGGCUCAGGACGAACGCUGGCGGCGCGCCUAACACAUGCAAGUCGAAUGAGCGAGAGAGAGCUUGCUUUCUCGAGCGAGUGGCGAACGGGUGAGUAACGCGUGAGGGACCUGCCUCAAAGAGGGGGACAACAGUUGGAAACGACUGCUAAUACCGCAUAAGCCCACGGCUCGGCAUCGAGCAGAGGGAAAAGGAGCAAUCCGCUUUGAGAUGGCCUCGCGUCCGAUUAGCUAGUUGGUGAGGUAACGGCCCACCAAGGCGACGAUCGGUAGCCGGACUGAGAGGUUGAACGGCCACAUUGGGACUGAGACACGGCCCAGACUCCUACGGGAGGCAGCAGUGGGGAAUAUUGCACAAUGGGGGAAACCCUGAUGCAGCGACGCCGCGUGGAGGAAGAAGGUCUUCGGAUUGUAAACUCCUGUUGUUGAGGAAGAUAAUGACGGUACUCAACAAGGAAGUGACGGCUAACUACGUGCCAGCAGCCGCGGUAAAACGUAGGUCACAAGCGUUGUCCGGAAUUACUGGGUGUAAAGGGAGCGCAGCCGGGAAGACAAGUUGGAAGUGAAAUCCAUGGGCUUAACCCAUGAACUGCUUUCAAAACUGUUUUUCUUGAGUAGUGCGGAGGUAGGCGGAAUUCCCGGUGUAGCGGUGGAAUGCGUAGAUAUCGGGAGGAACACCAGUGGCGAAGGCGGCCUACUGGGCACCAACUGACGCUGAGGCUCGAAAGUGUGGGUAGCAAACAGGAUUAGAUACCCUGGUAGUCCACACUGUAAACGAUGAUUACUAGGUGUUGGAGGAUUGACCCCUUCAGUGCCGUAGUUAACACAAUAAGUAAUCCACCUGGGGAGUACGACCGCAAGGUUGAAACUCAAAGGAAUUGACGGGGGCCCGCACAAGCAGUGGAGUAUGUGGUUUAAUUCGACGCAACGCGAAGAACCUUACCAAGUCUUGACAUCCUGCGACGCACAUAGAAAUAUGUGUUUCCUUCGGGACGCAGAGACAGGUGGUGCAUGGUUGUCGUCAGCUCGUGUCGUGAGAUGUUGGGUUAAGUCCCGCAACGAGCGCAACCCUUAUGGUCAGUUACUACGCAAGAGGACUCUGGCCAGACUGCCGUUGACAAAACGGAGGAAGGUGGGGAUGACGUCAAAUCAUCAUGCCCUUUAUGACUUGGGCUACACACGUACUACAAUGGCGUUAAACAAAGAGAAGCAAGACCGCGAGGUGGAGCAAAACUCAGAAACAACGUCCCAGUUCGGACUGCAGGCUGCAACUCGCCUGCACGAAGUCGGAAUUGCUAGUAAUCGC